RNAcentral lists this ribosomal RNA (1470 nucleotides) under metagenome. Its description in RNAcentral is "bacterial SSU rRNA". It matches the Rfam family "Bacterial small subunit ribosomal RNA". The record is from RNAcentral.
AGAGUUUGAUCCUGGCUCAGGACGAACGCUGGCGGCACGCUUAACACAUGCAAGUCGAACGAGAGAAGAGGAGCUUGCUUUUCUGAUCUAGUGGCGGACGGGUGAGUAACACGUGAGCAAUCUGCCUUUCAGAGGGGGAUACCGAUUGGAAACGAUCGUUAAUACCGCAUAACAUAAUUGAACCGCAUGAUUUGAUUAUCAAAGAUUUAUCGCUGAAAGAUGAGCUCGCGUCUGAUUAGCUAGUUGGUAAGGUAACGGCUUACCAAGGCGACGAUCAGUAGCCGGACUGAGAGGUUGAUCGGCCACAUUGGGACUGAGACACGGCCCAGACUCCUACGGGAGGCAGCAGUGGGGAAUAUUGCACAAUGGAGGAAACUCUGAUGCAGCGAUGCCGCGUGAGGGAAGAAGGUUUUAGGAUUGUAAACCUCUGUCUUCAGGGACGAAAAAAGACGGUACCUGAGGAGGAAGCUCCGGCUAACUACGUGCCAGCAGCCGCGGUAAUACGUAGGGAGCGAGCGUUGUCCGGAAUUACUGGGUGUAAAGCGAGCGUAGGCGGGAUCGCAAGUCAGAUGUGAAAACUAUGGGCUUAACCCAUAAACUGCAUUUGAAACUGUGGUUCUUGAGUGAAGUAGAGGUAAGCGGAAUUCCUAGUGUAGCGGUGAAAUGCGUAGAUAUUAGGAGGAACAUCAGUGGCGAAGGCGGCUUACUGGGCUUUAACUGACGCUGAGGCUCGAAAGCGUGGGGAGCAAACAGGAUUAGAUACCCUGGUAGUCCACGCCGUAAACGAUGAUUACUAGGUGUGGGGGGACUGACCCCUUCCGUGCCGCAGCAAACGCAAUAAGUAAUCCACCUGGGGAGUACGACCGCAAGGUUGAAACUCAAAGGAAUUGACGGGGGCCCGCACAAGCAGUGGAGUAUGUGGAUUAAUUCGAAGCAACGCGAAGAACCUUACCAGGUCUUGACAUCGUAUGCAUAGCUCAGAGAUGAGUGAAAUCUCUUCGGAGACAUAUAGACAGGUGGUGCAUGGUUGUCGUCAGCUCGUGUCGUGAGAUGUUGGGUUAAGUCCCGCAACGAGCGCAACCCUUACUGUUAGUUGCUACGCAAGAGCACUCUAGCAGGACUGCCGUUGACAAAACGGAGGAAGGUGGGGAUGACGUCAAAUCAUCAUGCCCCUUAUGACCUGGGCCUCACACGUACUACAAUGGCUGUCAACAGAGGGAAGCAAAGCCGCGAGGUGGAGCGAACCCCUAAAAGCAGUCUUAGUUCGGAUUGUAGGCUGCAACCCGCCUACAUGAAGUCGGAAUUGCUAGUAAUCGCAGAUCAGCAUGCUGCGGUGAAUACGUUCCCGGGCCUUGUACACACCGCCCGUCACGCCAUGGGAGUCGGUAACACCCGAAGCCUGUAGUCUAACCGCAAGGAGGACGCAGUCGAAGGUGGGAUUGAUGACUGGGGUGAAGUCGGAACAAGGUA